RNAcentral lists this ribosomal RNA (492 nucleotides) under uncultured bacterium. RNAcentral's name for it is "partial 16S ribosomal RNA". It matches the Rfam family "Bacterial small subunit ribosomal RNA", at positions 29 to 507 of the family's 1533-position model. The record is from RNAcentral.
AGUGAACGCUGGCGGUAGGCCUAACACAUGCAAGUCGAGCGGCAGCACAGUAAGAGCUUGCUCUUACGGGUGGCGAGUGGCGGACGGGUGAGGAAUACAUCGGAAUCUACUUUUUCGUGGGGGAUAACGUAGGGAAACUUACGCUAAUACCGCAUACGACCUCCGGGUGAAAGCAGGGGAUCUUCGGACCUUGCGCGAUUGAAUGAGCCGAUGUCGGAUUAGCUAGUUGGCGGGGUAAAGGCCCACCAAGGCGACGAUCCGUAGCUGGUCUGAGAGGAUGAUCAGCCACACUGGAACUGAGACACGGUCCAGACUCCUACGGGAGGCAGCAGUGGGGAAUAUUGGACAAAGGGCGCAAGCCUGAUCCAGCCAUACCGCGUGGGUGAAGAAGGCCUUCGGGUUGUAAAGCCCUUUUGUUGGGAAAGAAAAGCAGCAGGUUAAUACCCCGCUGUUCUGACGGUACCCAAAGAAUAAGCACCGGCUAACUUCGUG